This 257-nucleotide ribosomal RNA is filed under the name uncultured bacterium. RNAcentral describes it as "partial 16S ribosomal RNA". It matches the Rfam family "Bacterial small subunit ribosomal RNA", at positions 98 to 353 of the family's 1533-position model. The record is from RNAcentral.
GCGGACGGGUGAGUAACGCGUGGGUAACCUGCCCUGUACACACGGAUAACAUACCGAAAGGUAUGCUAAUACGAGAUAAUAUGCUUUUAUCGCAUGGUAGAAGUAUCAAAGCUUUUGCGGUACAGGAUGGACCCGCGUCUGAUUAGCUAGUUGGUAAGGUAACGGCUUACCAAGGCGACGAUCAGUAGCCGACCUGAGAGGGUGAUCGGCCACAUUGGAACUGAGACACGGUCCAAACUCCUACGGGAGGCAGCAUG